UAUUGAGUACUGACAUACUACGGGCAUCGAAUGAAUUGUGAGCAAAGGUCAGCCAGUGUUUCUGGUAGUUGUGCCGACGUCGGCGGAGUACUUACUACCUAUUAGUAUAUUACGGGCUAUAGUUAUUUACAAAUUUUAAAGCACUACAUUAUAAUAUACAGAUAAACUAAAAAAAAAAUUUAAAUUAUUGUUUAUACAUAUUAAUAAUUAUUUUUCAUUUUUAGCGGAAAAAAGCUGCAGAGAAAAGGGUCAAUAUUAUUUUGGCCUAAAAGCAAGCGUUAGUGUUACUCUCAAUGACGAGGUACUUUGAACAGCCGCUAAAAUUUAACACAUAAUACUGGGAUGUUGGACACUCGUCUCGCUUCACUCACCUCGACCGAAGCCAAUAUUUUAUUAUUAAACAUUUUAAAGCAAUGUGAUAAAUCACGGCAUUCGAAAAACGAUUCUGAGCAGAGCCCGAUUUACUAUGCAGAUGUUUCCCUCAUCAGUGGCAUAGGCCAUAGGCGCAUGUCGCAUGGCUACAGGCUAGGCGUUUCCGAUAAGAGAGGGAAUGAUUAUUUAUGAAUAAUCAUUACAUUUAAUCGAAUUUCGAGAAACGCUUACAUUUUAUAGAAGUUAUAAAUUGUUAAUAUACUUUUUAUCCGUGUACUAAGAUAUAUAUAGCGUCAGUCACAGUCUAGACGCCGCAGCAUCAAGACACAUCGGGAAAACGUAUUGAUACGGUUUGAAGAAAUCACUGAUAACUGAUUACAUACAAAUUUACAAAUAUAUAAGUACCAUAAUACUAUAGUAUAGUACCAAAUUUGAUAAGGUUUUUAUACGUGAUUUGCAUAGCUAAUAUUAAAUGCAUAUAGACAUACAGACCAUACAGUUUUGUACAGAACAGGCGCACGGAUCCAAAAUAUAUAUACAGAGUGGGAAAAGGUGGGGCUAUCGCCCCUAACCCCUCCUUGGACUCACGGCUGGUACAGAACAUAUUAAUCAUAUUUUAGUAAGGCAUAUUGAACAUAAUACUCAAAAACUAAAAUUACGAGAAUAAUAAUUGUUUCUUGGAUAUAGCGCAGAAAAUUAGUAUUGCAAGCAACUUCGUAUGAUUUUGAUUUUGAGGAGAAAGAAAUGUUUUGUGAAUUUCAAAAUUAUUCUUGUGUAUUCACGGGCAUGGCUUAAAUAACUUGUAAAAACAAAUUUACAAAAUCAUUUACUACGAUAAUAUAAUAUAAAGUCAUUUAAAUAAUACGAUUGUCGUUUACAAUGAAUGGAUAUAUAACUUCUAACCUCCCUCCCACUGAGCACCCUGCUGGUUUCCUUAUACGGAUAUAGCGCUAUACAUUAUAUCAUAUAUAAAUAUAAAUAUAUUAUUUAGACCUACAUUUUAGUCUAUAAUUUAUAAUAUUAUUUUUCUGUUGGAUGGGAGUAAUAGGAUUUUCAUAUUUGUAAAUUAUAUUCAAUACAAGUUAUAGCCUGUAAAGUAGUAGGCGAGAAUAAAAUAUACAUUUUUUCUACACAAUUUAUAUUAAACUUUGCAUUGCCGUGGGGGACAAACUACAAAGUUCCACCCCAUCUCCAAAGUAUAUUAAACCAUAAUAUACAUAGACAUCAAUUAUUUAGUUUCUAUUUUUCAUUAUUUUUAUCUUCAGAUAAUAUUACAUUAAA
Long non-coding RNA from Rhopalosiphum padi (bird cherry-oat aphid), 1653 nucleotides. RefSeq lists it as uncharacterized. The record is from RefSeq and is a predicted model, not a curated record. The transcript has 4 exons. NCBI's taxonomy places the organism in Eukaryota, Metazoa, Arthropoda, Insecta, Hemiptera, Aphididae.